This 97-nucleotide signal recognition particle RNA is filed under the name Succinivibrio sp. RNAcentral describes it as "signal recognition particle sRNA small type". It matches the Rfam family "Bacterial small signal recognition particle RNA". From Rfam's summary of the family: The signal recognition particle (SRP) is a universally conserved ribonucleoprotein involved in the co-translational targeting of proteins to membranes. Archaeal SRP consists of a 7S RNA and homologues of the eukaryotic SRP19 and SRP54 proteins. The record is from RNAcentral. Lineage: Bacteria; Pseudomonadati; Pseudomonadota; Gammaproteobacteria; Aeromonadales; Succinivibrionaceae.
UGUCAGUCCUCACGUACUUGUGUUGGGUUUAAUUGGUCAGGUCCGGAAGGAAGCAGCCAGGGUUCAAUUUCAAGGUACCGUGAUGUGGUUGACUUUC